UCCUGUUAUGGAAACAGUCAAACCCUGACAUUCAGCAAGUCAAUCUAUAGAGCAACUGGAUAAACAACCAAGAUAAUCAUCAGCCAUCAUCGGCACAAUAGCCAAAAUGGCAUUGCUUGGGGACAAGGGGCUGGCUCAGACCCAAACAAUUCAGAUUGAGAAGUGUCUGUUCAUGUCCUCUGCCUUUUGAGACAGAGUCUCGCUCUGUCACCCAGGCUUGAGUGCAGUGGCAGCAGUCUGGGCUCACUGCAAGCUCCGCCUCCUGGGUUCACGCCGUUCUCCUGCCUCAGCCCCCCGAGUAGCUGGGACUACAGGUACCCACCACCACGCCCGGCUAAUUUUUUGUAUUAUUGGUCUAUGUGUCAGUUUUUGUAUCAGCACCAUGCUGUUUUGGUUACCAUAGCCCUGUAGUAUAGUUUGAAGUUGGAUAGCAUGAUGCCUCCAGCUUUGUUCUUUUUGCUUAGGAUUGCCUUGGCUACUUGGGCUCUUUUCUGGUUUCAUAUGAAUUUUAAAAUAAUUUUUUUCUAAUUCUGUGAAUAAUGUCAUUGGUAGUUUGAUAGGGAUAGUAUUGAAUCUGUAAAUUGUUUUGGGUAGUAUGGCCAUUUUAAUUGGGAGGUGAGAAAGGAACCUUGUUCCUAACUGGGCCCAGGUCUGGAGGAGGCUGAGCACUGAGUCAGAUUCUGUGUCGAGAAUGUGACAAGGACGAGGGUAUUCUAGUACAUAAAUCACCCUGAAUUUGGACCCAGGUGACCGCAGGACUAUUACCUAAUUGGGAGGAUGCUUCUUGUGUCCUCUCUGAUAUUUACACGGGCACUUGGUGUUCCUAGAAGCUGUUCUUCUAUUUAGAUUGCGUGCAUUGUUUAGGAGGUGGUCUGACUGUUGCUUUAGAGAGUGGGUUCUGGAAUCAGUCGUACCUUGCUUCUAAUCCUGCUUCUGCCAUCUCCACAAGGGGCUGUGGACAGGUUAUCUAGCCUCGCAGAGCUUCACUUUCCUUAUCACUACAUGGGGGAUAAGAAUAGGCUGACCUCCGCAGUCACAGUGACGACAGCAUAGUAAGGCAUCCAUAACUAGUUUGCUGUGAUGAUGGCGUUGAUGUUCUGCAGCCCAGGUUACAACUUUAACC
Molecule: long non-coding RNA, 1123 nt
Filed under: Homo sapiens (human)
Lineage: Eukaryota; Metazoa; Chordata; Mammalia; Primates; Hominidae
Description: non-protein coding lnc-PRSS51-6:1
Source: RNAcentral